RNAcentral lists this non-coding RNA (223 nucleotides) under Agrobacterium fabacearum CFBP 5771. The record is from RNAcentral. Lineage: Bacteria; Pseudomonadati; Pseudomonadota; Alphaproteobacteria; Hyphomicrobiales; Rhizobiaceae. RNAcentral also lists the same sequence under 1 other name.
GGAUAACGAUCCUGUGAUGGUUCCUUCCGGGCGUUCCGGAAGGUGAAAAGGGAACACGAUAGGGAGACAUCCUCAUUCGUGGCUGCCCCCGCAACUGUGAGCGGAGAGCCUGAAACGAAAUGCCACUGGUAAGCAUCUCGCCGGAUAUGGGCGAGGGCAAUGCCGGGAAGGUGUUUCAGGUUUUGACCCGUAAGCCAGGAGACCUGCCAUCACGGAAAUGUCC